UGAGCAAUCUGCCCUUCACAUCGGAAUAACCAUUGGAAACGAUGGCUAAUACCGAAUAUGACUUCGGAUCGCAUGAUCUGAAGUGGAAAGCUCUGGCGGUGAAGGAUGAGCUCGCGGCCUAUCAGCUUGUUGGUGAGGUAAUAGCUCACCAAGGCGAUGACGGGUAGCCGGCCUGAGAGGGUGACCGGCCACACUGGGACUGAGACAGGCCCA
This 213-nucleotide ribosomal RNA is filed under the name uncultured bacterium. RNAcentral describes it as "partial 16S ribosomal RNA". It matches the Rfam family "Bacterial small subunit ribosomal RNA", at positions 118 to 333 of the family's 1533-position model. The record is from RNAcentral.